This is a small nuclear RNA of Myodes glareolus (Bank vole), 107 nucleotides long. NCBI's taxonomy places the organism in Eukaryota, Metazoa, Chordata, Mammalia, Rodentia, Cricetidae. The record is from RefSeq and is a predicted model, not a curated record.
GUGCUCACUUUGGCAGCCCAUAUACUAAAACUGGAAUGAUAUAGAGAAGAUUAGAUUGGCCUCUGUGCAAGGAUGACACACAAAUUCAUGAAAAAUAAAAAGAAUGG